RNAcentral lists this ribosomal RNA (337 nucleotides) under uncultured bacterium. RNAcentral's name for it is "bacterial SSU rRNA". It matches the Rfam family "Bacterial small subunit ribosomal RNA", at positions 28 to 367 of the family's 1533-position model. The record is from RNAcentral.
GAUGAACGCUAGCGGCAGGCUUAACACAUGCAAGUCGAGGGGUAUUGGUUUUCGGACCAAGAGACCGGCGCACGGGUGCGUAACGCGUAUGCAAUCUACCUUUUGCAGAGGGAUAGCCCAGAGAAAUUUGGAUUAAUACCUCAUAGUAUAGUACUUUGGCAUCAAGGAACUAUUAAAGUCACAACGGCAAAGAUGAGCAUGCGUCCCAUUAGCUAGUUGGUAAGGUAACGGCUUACCAAGGCUACGAUGGGUAGGGGUCCGUGAGAGGGAGAUCCCCCACACUGGUACUGAGACACGGACCAGACUCCUACGGGAGGCGAGCAGUGAGGAAUAUUGG